Molecule: long non-coding RNA, 501 nt
Filed under: Danio rerio (zebrafish)
Lineage: Eukaryota; Metazoa; Chordata; Actinopteri; Cypriniformes; Danionidae
Description: si:dkey-6a5.11 (ENSDARG00000097457.2)
Source: RNAcentral
UUGACCACAGUCAAAACAAAGCUUUCUGACCGUUUUAAAGAUAUAAAAGUAAUUUUCCUGCAGGUGACAGUCAGUGAGAGCCUUUUAAUGUCACUUAUCAGAACACACUUCAGCCCUUCUGGCAAAAGCAUGCGACUAUCUCUGGAUGAUGUGCAGGAAUGCUGGACACUCCAACACCUAGUUUAUGUUGGACACAUGGACAGUCAGUCGCUGUAAUUGUGGUCAUCUGCUCAUCAUGCUGAGAUGAGCUUGUGAUUCAUUGAACACAGCUAGAUCCUUUAGGGUUCAUCAGUCCAACUGCUUCUGAGCUGGACCUGAGAGAGACAUCUAGUGCUCAAUGCUGAUAUUACAGCUCAUUCACAAACAAAUGAGUGGAAUAUUGUUGCAGGUAAGACUCAGCCAAAACCAGAUCGCCCUGAACAGUAUGUAAUUGGCCUGUAUAAUUGGUUCCACACUCUGCUGUAGUAGGAGUGAAGGUAGAAGACCCUCAUGCUGUAGGGU